This 278-nucleotide long non-coding RNA is filed under the name Elaeis guineensis (African oil palm). RNAcentral describes it as "long non-coding RNA (EGUI_LNC051391)". The record is from RNAcentral. Lineage: Eukaryota; Viridiplantae; Streptophyta; Magnoliopsida; Arecales; Arecaceae.
CUCCCCAGAUGCUUCACUAAGCAUGUUGCAGCCACUUGGUCUCUAAGUCAUGUGGGCUCACCUAACAGUUAUUGCCCACACUUCUUAGUUAAGCCCGACCCACCAUUCACAAGCAGGUGCAAGGUCAUCAUUGGAUCCCACACCUAAUAGGUAUUGGGUCCAACCCCAUUCCUAUCUUGGAGCAACUCCUUUCUAAUAGAGUGAUUGUGCAUUCUCAAUGCAACUGAACCACUGUGAUCAGUCGAGAACAAUCAACACCAGUAACACGCCAGCACAUC